This is a long non-coding RNA of Leucoraja erinaceus (little skate), 5448 nucleotides long. RefSeq lists it as uncharacterized. The record is from RefSeq and is a predicted model, not a curated record. The transcript is spliced from 2 exons. NCBI's taxonomy places the organism in Eukaryota, Metazoa, Chordata, Chondrichthyes, Rajiformes, Rajidae.
AAGAACGUACAACCUCUGUACAGACCAGCACCCAUUGUCAGGAUCGAACCCAGGUCCCUGGCGCUGAAAGGCAGUAACUCUACUGCUGCGCCAUGUGACACCCCUAGCAUGUUGUUCUUAUCAUGUUGGCACAGAGUCCAAUAAUAGAGGAAUAGCAUCCCUGAUUCUGGUUUUGUAGGUUUUCAAUUCAUAUAAUGUGACCAUGAAGUAAACAUAAAUGUUAACAUUAUUAUUUGUAUAAAGCCUUCCUCAAAAUUUCUCGAUGGCAAUUAUUUAUUUUCAAAAUCUCUCAGAAAUGAAUGGAGUCUGAAAUCUAUUUUUACCUUGAACCGGGUGUAAUUUGGAAUUGCAAAAAGUAGAUGAGGGAAAGUUUGCUCUUUGUCCUCACUGACUUCUGCAAUCACUGAAUGUCAUUCGUCUGUCUUUCAGUAACAUGCUGACAAUGAUUAGACAUCACAAUGUGGUGAUUCAAUGAAUCAGCUUAUGGAUUGCUAUCCAAGGCUGACUGAACACAAGAUAGUCCCAUCAAUAAGCCAUUAUUUUUUUUUGUUUUUGUAAACUACAGCUAUUUCCAUCGAUUUGAUAUGCAUUCUUUCUCUUUUAAAAGGAAUUUUGUUUCUUUGAAUAGACAGAGUUUAUGAGACUGGCAGUUGUUUUGGUCAGAAUUUAUAGAUCCAUAAACCUUGCUUAUAUGUGAUGGUUAAAUCAGGGCUUUUGAGAAUUAAACAGUUGAAUACAAUGAUAAAUAAUUAAUUUGUUAUAACUAUCUUGAUAAUCCACUGUCAGCAUCCUACAUCUAGAAGUAUCAAGUUUGUGGUUUCCAUUGUCAGAUGUCCAUUGCUCUGUAAUGUUAAACGUAAGACUUUCCCUAUUAAAAGCCUUAAGUUUUAAGCACAGAUCAAUGAUACUAGAGGGGAGGCCAAUGAAUUUUCCACUCAUCGACAUUUUUGUUCCAUGGAAUGCUGGAGGCUGUUCUAAAUACAGAGGCAUGAAUGAAACCUUCCUUUCAUUAUAUUUCCUUUGGUGAUGCAAACAUCCAAGAGUCUUUCCCUCUUAAAAAGGAUGUCGGCCAAUUGUACCAGUCUUGUGCAUCUUAUUGUGGGUUUCUACGGUUCACUUAAAGUGAGAGCACAAAGCCAAAACCAUGUUGCUGGAAAUUAGAACAUUGUGAUGGACCAUUAGCAAGAAGAACAGUGGGUUUAUUGCAUUGCUUUUGCCAACAUGUAAUUCGUUUGAAGAGGCUAAAUCUGGUCCCCUAUUGGAGUUCCUGGCUCUUGGAGAUGGAAUGGAAAGUAUUUAAACAUUUACCAAGUGAACCUCAGUUUACAACUCCAUAACGUGCAUAUAAAGAUUGUGGUCUAUUGAUGGAAAAGUAACUACACUUUUGUAGAGCUAAAUUUGAAUUGUGGAUACCUCUGCAAUGAGAUAAUUUUCUUCUUGCAUUACCUAGCCAUUUAAAAUAAAAUAUUCUUGCAGCAGAUUUUAUGAGGACGUUGUCUCAUGAUUAAGCACAUUUUCACCAAGUGAAAGAUUAAAAGUAUUCACCGAGUAUAGAAGUUAGGAGGCCAUGCUGCACUUAUAUAAGACAUGGUGAGAUAACAUUUAGUGCUCAGUUUCUGUCACAGAAAACAUCUGUUGUAGAAAAGAUGUUGUCAGGCUAAAAAGGUUGCAGGGACGAUUUACUAGGAUGUUGCCAGGACUCGACGGCCUGAGCUAGAGGGAGAGGUUGAACAGGCUAGGACUUGAAGAGCAAGAGGAAGCGGUGUACAAAAUCAUGAGAGGAAAAGACGGGGUUAACUCACAGAGUCCUUUGCUCAGAAUAGGGGGAUUGAGAACCAGAGGGCAUAGGUUUAUGGUGAGGGGGGAAAGAUUUAAUAGCAACCUGAGGAGUAACUUUCUUACACAAGUGGUGGUGGGUGUAUGGAACCAGCUGCUGGAGGAGAUAGAUGAGGCAGGUAUAAUCGCAAUGUUUAAAAAGCAUUUAGACAGGUACAUGGAUAGGACAGGUUUGGAGGGGUAUGGGCCAAACGCAGACAGGUGGGACUAGUGUAGAUGGUGCAUGUCGGCCGGCAUAGGAAAGUGGGGCUGAAGGGCCUGUAUCUGUGCUGAAUGACUCUAUGACUGUAUGAUAUGAGACAGUCAAUGUAUGUACUUUGCUAGUGUGGUGGGCUAGAGUGGGGGAGAGGGGAUGGUUGUGAACAAUGGGAUGAUAAGAACCAAAUUUACCAAGUUUUGAACUUUACUCUAAGUGUAUACCUAAGUGUACUUCCAGCACGGGGUGUGUUUAACAUCAGGAAACAGAGACUCUUUUCAACUUUCACUACCAGAACCAGGGCAGGAAGGCAAAUGAGUGCCUUCAUUUCAAUGUUAACUCGAUGAAGGUGAGGUUAGAAUUGGGAACUUGCUCAUGAACCAAAUCACAGGUUCAGAGGUUUAUAGGUUCUAGUAGCAUAAUUAGGCCAUUGGCCCAUCGUCUCCCCUGCCAUUCAAUCAUGGCUGAUCUAUCUUUCCCUCUGAACCCCAUUAUCCCGCCUUCUCCCCAUAACCCCUGCCACCCUUACUAAUCAUAAAUCUGUCAAUCUCCACCUUAAAAAUAUACAUUGCCAGAAAUCGAAUGAAACAAAUGUAUUGAUCAUCCUCGUCAACAUUUGGAAGUCUGUAGAUUGAAUCACUGCAUUGCACUGUUGUACAGUCUGUUUAAUAUUGUGCUGUGUUCAUGGAUCAUUGAAACAAUAGACAAUAGACAAUCGGUGCAGGAGUAGGCCAUUCGGCCCUUCGAGCCAGCACCGCCAUUUAAUGUGAUCACGGCUGAUCAUCCACAAUCAGUACCCUGUUCCUGCCUUCUCCAGGCAGUCACAUAUUGUGAGUUUAAAAUCUGGCAGAUUAGCAAAAUAGCAGGUUCUGUGAAAACGUCACCCAUGGAUUUCCCAUGUAGUGUAAUUUUGGAUGUAAUGAGCCAUUCUAGUCUCUGUACCUUGGUAUCUUACAGAUCUUUACUGGACUUUAUCUCGCAUUAAAGAUAAUUCACCUUAUUCCCUUCGUCACGUAUCUGCACACUGUGGAUGACUCAUUUGUAAUCAUGUAUGGUCUUUCUGCUGAUGGGGUAGCAAUAAAAACUUUGCACUGUACCUUGGUUCUUGUGACAAUCAACAAAACUAAACUUCAUUCAUGUAGACACAAUGAACUGUAGAUGCAGGAACCUUGCUUAGAACACAAAGUGCUGGAGUAACUCAGUGGGUCAUACAGCACCUCUAGAGGACAUGGGCAGGAGACACCCUGGCUCAGGACCAAGAAGGGACUUAGAAACAUUGAAACUAGGUGCAGGAGAAGGCCAUUUGGCCUUUCAGAUUCAGAUUCAGAUUCAAACUUUAUUGUCAUUGUGCAGUGUACAGUACAGAGACAACGAAAUGCAGUUAGCAUUUGGCUCAGUUAGAAUGGCAAGCCAGCACUGCCAUUCAAUAUGAUCAUGGCUGAUCAUCCAAAAUCAGUACCCCGUUCCUGCUUUCUCCCCAUAUCCUUUGAUUCAAUUAGCCCUAAGAGAGCUAUAUCUAACUCUCUCUUGUCCAGAAGCAUUGCCUGUCCAUGUCCUCCAGAGAUGCUGCCUGACCCACUGAGUUACUCUAGCACUUUGAGAUCACGGUUCAUGUUUGCUUUGCAAGUAAGGUUGUUAAUUUUGACUGGUUCAAGUUUGCCAUGAGGUCGGUCACGGUGGCGGUCACGGCAGUCAAGGUGGCACAGUGGUUGUCUUACAGUGAAUGCAGCGCCGGAGACCCGGGUUCGAUCCUGACUACGGGUGCUGUACUGUAUGGAGUUUGUACGUUCUCCCCAUGAUCUGCAUGGGUUUUCUCCAAGAUCUUCGGUUUCCUCCCAAACUUCAAAGACGUACAGGUUUGUAGGUUAAUUUACUUGGUAAAUGUUAAAAAAAAUUGUCCCUAGUGGGUGCGGGAUAGUGUUAAUGUGCGGGGAUCACUGGUCGGCGCGGACCCGGUGGGCCGAAGAUCCUGUUUCUGCGCUGUAUCUCUAAACUAAACUAAACUAAUAAACCUGUGGUCUGUGGUCAAUUGGUAGACUUUAGCAGGGUGAUACUUAGUAUGCUGAACUCUGCUUUUCAUCUCUAUGAUUUGAGGAGUUUCAAUUGACUGGGUAAUUCCCAGGACAGAUCAGUGCAUUGUAGUCUCUGGUGUCUGCCACUAGAUGUCAGUAUAGUAUUUAUGUUACCUGUCAUUCCAAACAAGUUGGGAUGCGAUUUGCAGGCACGAUUCCCCAUGGAGCUGGGUUAGAUUCCAAUUAGAACUCACACACUUUAUUUUGGUGUUUUCAUACCUUUUGCUGCUGUCAGGUGUCCUGGAUCACUCUAACUACACCAGGAGAAAAAAAGAUAAUAUCCAGUUUCAAGCAAUAUUUUCCUCUUCAUAUUGCAUCUGACCUUAAUUCUUACCUUGUCACAUAAAUAGGAACUGCAGCCAAGGCUUGUCACCACUAAUGCUUUGACGAGUUAAUUGAGGGUCAAAAGGGCUUCAGCAUGCUAUUUUUAAUCUUCCUAAUCGCUUGUUAUUACCACUGUGUAGGUAGGGGAGGGGAGGGCAAGGGAAAGGGAGUGGGAGUAUGGAGAGCUGGAAUGCCCACAAGCUGGUUAGAAGAAAGGUCUGGAGGGUAGGUGCUGGGGAGGUGGGUAAGCUCACACUGAUCUUGUCAACUUGACCAAUUAUGGAUUUAGUCACCAGGUUGUGGAGCCAUAUGAUGUGAAAACAGGCCUUUCAGCCCACCGGGCUCAUGCUGGCUCAUUUAUAAUAAGCCUGCACUAAUCUCAUUUAUUCGCCGCAAGCAACUGCUACCAACAUUGCAGUGUUACAAUUGCAUCUUGGUAAGUGUAGUUCCACAAAUGAAGAAGGGUCUGAUGAAGGGUCUCAACCCGAAACGUCACCCAUUCCUUCUCUGCAGAGACGCUGUCUGUCCCGCUGAGUUACUCCUGCAUUUUGUGUCUAUCUUCGAUUUAAACCACAUCUGCAGUUCUUUCCUACACAAUGAAGUAUACUUAACAGCUUUCCUUGCUCCCUAAUGUUUUCCUCUUUACCUGCCAUAGAGUGUCAAAACUGCUUUGUUAUUUUCAGGAACUUAUGGAAGAGAAUAACAGUUUAAUCUGAUCCUUCCUGUGACUGCCAUCUACAGUUACACAGUCCAAUAACAAAGGGUCAUGGGGCAAUAAUUCACUCGGAACAGUUUAGAGUUGGUGCCUAAACGGAAGAAGUCCGCAUUGUUUAGGUCGUUCUUGAGCGGGGAACUACAAUCAUUGCAUGAGCCUUUCAAUUGGAGCAGACAGCAAUUUGCCUGGAAGGCAGAGAUCCAACAUGUUGGACAAGCAUUUCACCGACACGUCUACACUUUGAACCCUGCUAGAGAUGCGAGUAUGAAUAGUGUGACACAAGAUCAAUAAAUCUCAGUGAGCCC